UCGAAUAAACUUGAAUGGGUUGUUGCUGGCAUUAGCAAGUGCACGCCUGUCAUUUUUAUCUUUCCACUUGUGCACAUAUUUCUGUAGAUUGAUUGAGGAUUUUGCUUCUUUUUAUGGGCUAUCCUUGCAACUUUUAGAUCUACUUAUUUCACAACCUCUAAAAUAUGUAUAGAAUGUUGAAUUUUGGAUAAUAAUA
RNAcentral lists this unclassified non-coding RNA (196 nucleotides) under uncultured Basidiomycota. RNAcentral's name for it is "sequence contains ITS1". The record is from RNAcentral. Lineage: Eukaryota; Fungi; Basidiomycota.